UGGGGAAUAUUGGGCAAUGGGCGCAAGCCUGACCCAGCAACGCCGCGUGAAGGAAGAAGGCUUUCGGGUUGUAAACUUCUUUUAUCAGGGACGAAACAAAUGACGGUACCUGAAGAAUAAGCCACGGCUAACUACGUGCCAGCAGCCGCGGUAAUACGUAGGUGGCGAGCGUUAUCCGGAUUUACUGGGUGUAAAGGGCGCGUAGGCGGGAAAGCAAGUCAGAUGUGAAAUCUAUGGGCUUAACCCAUAAACUGCAUUUGAAACUGUUUUUCUUGAGUGAUGGAGAGGCAAGCGGAAUUCCUAGUGUAGCGGUGAAAUGCGUAGAUAUUAGGAGGAACACCAGUGGCGAAGGCGGCUUGCUGGACAUUAACUGACGCUGAGGCGCGAAAGCGUGGGGAGCAAACAGGAUUAGAUACCC
RNAcentral lists this ribosomal RNA (418 nucleotides) under uncultured bacterium. RNAcentral's name for it is "bacterial SSU rRNA". It matches the Rfam family "Bacterial small subunit ribosomal RNA", at positions 355 to 787 of the family's 1533-position model. The record is from RNAcentral.